GCGGACGUAGUGCACGGUGUACCGCUGCAUUCUGUGAACACUUUAGGCGCACGUAAAAGCAGUUGAACGGGGUUCGAAUCCCCGCGUCCGCC
Molecule: non-coding RNA, 92 nt
Organism: Mycena latifolia
Lineage: Eukaryota; Fungi; Basidiomycota; Agaricomycetes; Agaricales; Mycenaceae
Source: the annotation of a GenBank genome assembly